AUGGACUAUUACAAGCAUAGCAAUUUAAGGAGGAAGGCUAGGAAAAGAGUGGAUAAUUUAAUGCAAAAAAUAGUCACUCUGCCAUCUGGUAAAGAAGGCGAGAGCAUUAACCAGCAUCUUGAAAGUCACAUUGAUGAGCCUGAGCUUAAUAGGGAAGGAUGUCAACAAGACAUGCGAGAACCCCUUGAUAGCCUGAUUGAAGAGAUUGUGCUCAAUAGGGAAGGAUGUCUUGAUAUGGAAGACAGCAUUGGCUGUAGUGGUUCUAGCAGUGUGAAGAGCGACCAUGAAAUUUUAUUGGGCAGCUUAGGUGACUGGGCAGUUAGAUUUGGGGUGUCUUUGGUGGCUCUGUCAGCCUUACUGUCAAUUCUUAGGAUAUACUUUCCCUUCCUGCCAAAGGAUGGAAGGUCACUGCUUAAAACAAAGACAGACUACAAAGUGGAGAUGCUUGCUGGUGGCUCAUUUCACUAUUUUGGUAUAGUGAAUGUUGUCCAAAGAAAGUUCACCAGGUUAUUAUCCUCUUUUCCAGAAGGCUAUGAAUUUCUUUUACAGCUAAAUUUUGAUGGAUUACCUCUUUUUAAAAGCUCAUCCAUUCAGUUUUGGCCCAUUCUGGGUAAAUUACCAAGACUCUCCAAAAAGCCUUUUGUGAUAGCAUUGUUUUGUGGGACAGCAAAGCCCAAAACACUGUCUGACUAUCUAAAACAUUUAGUUCAAGAGCUGAAAAGCAUCAGUACUGGCUUUGUUUGUCAGGGCAAAACAUUUCUCUUGAAAGUUUGUUCUGUUAUUUGUGAUGCACCAGCAAGGGCAUUUAUCAAAGGUAUCAAGUCCCACACUGGAUAUUAUGGCUGUGAUAAGUGCUUACAAAGAGGAAUAUACACAAAUCACCGUAUGACAUUUCCUGAGCUCACUGCUGCAUGUAGAACAGAUGAAUCCUUUAGAUUAGAAGCAAAUGAAGAUCACCACCUUACUCAUUGUCCUCUGGUAGAUACUGGAGUUGAUAUGGUUGCUGGUUUUCCCCAUGAUUACAUGCACUUAGUGUGUUUGGGUGUUAUGAGGAGACUUCUUGAACUGUGGGUUGGCACUGCUGGCUCUUUGCGCACCAGAAUUUCGUCUUUGCAAGCAUCCUUAAUCUCUGAUAAACUUUUGGCAUUAGCACAUCAUAUUCCAUCUGAAUUUGCAAGGAAACCUCGGGCACUCAAUGAGAGACUGAGGUGGAAAGCAACAGAACUGCGCCAAUUUUUGCUGUUCACUGGUCCUAUAGUUUUGAAAGGUGUCUUGCUGCCUCAAGUGUAUGAUAACUUCAUGCUUCUUUCUGUUGCUAUCUAUAUUUUGGUUAGCCCGCAGUAUUGUUUACAAUUGAACCACUUGGCUCAUCAUUUUCUUGUCUCAUUUGUGGAGCAUUAUGGCUUGCUAUAUGGUAAAGACCAAGUAGUGUACAACAUUCAUGGGUUAGUGCAUCUUGCUGGUGAUGUGAAGGUACAUGGCCAUUUAGAUGGUAUCUCUGGCUUCCCUUAUGAGAACUUAUUGGGUGAACUUAAGAGAAUGAUAAGGAAAGCUCACAAUCCUCUACCACAGGUUAUACGCAGGUUAUCUGAACAUGAACAGAGGGGCUGUGAUUUUGAUUCACCCAUUGAGCAGGAACCCUUUUUAAAAUCUCCACAUCAUGAUGGGCCAGUACCAGAGGGCCUUUUGGAAAAUGUCAGUCAGUUCAAGCAGUUGACAGCCGAUGGUGUCAUUCUAAAAACAUCAAGUAAAGAUGACUGCAUUGUCAUUGACGGGAACGUUGUUUCUGUGCAAAACAUAGUUAGUCAUGAAGACAAAGUGUAUGCCAUGUACCAGGAGUAUAGAGUCAAAGAAGCACUUUACAGUUACCCACUCGACUCAAGGGAACUGGGAAUAUACAUCGUCUCUCAUUUGUCUCCUGUGAUGCACUGUGUAGAGAUGGUUAAGCCUGUGCAAAAGUGUGUGCGGUUGCCCUUGGGAGACAAGUUUGCAGUGUUCCCUCUUCCUCACACAAAUUAA
This is a long non-coding RNA of Cyprinus carpio (common carp), 2019 nucleotides long. Lineage: Eukaryota; Metazoa; Chordata; Actinopteri; Cypriniformes; Cyprinidae. The record is from Ensembl.